GAUGAACGCUGGCGGCGUGCCUAAUACAUGCAAGUCGAGCGAACGGACGAGAAGCUUGCUUCUCUGAUGUUAGCGGCGGACGGGUGAGUAACACGUGGAUAACCUACCUAUAAGACUGGGAUAACUUCGGGAAACCGGAGCUAAUACCGGAUAAUAUUUUGAACCGCAUGGUUCAAAAGUGAAAGACGGUCUUGCUGUCACUUAUAGAUGGAUCCGCGCUGCAUUAGCUAGUUGGUAAGGUAACGGCUUACCAAGGCAACGAUGCAUAGCCGACCUGAGAGGGUGAUCGGCCACACUGGAACUGAGACACGGUCCAGACUCCUACGGGAGGCAGCAGUAGGGAAUCUUCCGCAAUGGGCGAAAGCCUGACGGAGCAACGCCGCGUGAGUGAUGAAGGUCUUCGGAUCGUAAAACUCUGUUAUUAGGGAAGAACAUAUGUGUAAGUAACUGUGCACAUCUUGACGGUACCUAAUCAGAAAGCCACGGCUAACUACGUGCCAGCAGCCGCGGUAAUACGUAGGUGGCAAGCGUUAUCCGGAAUUAUUGGGCGUAAAGCGCGCGUAGGCGGUUUUUUAAGUCUGAUGUGAAAGCCCACGGCUCAACCGUGGAGGGUCAUUGGAAACUGGAAAACUUGAGUGCAGAAGAGGAAAGUGGAAUUCCAUGUGUAGCGGUGAAAUGCGCAGAGAUAUGGAGGAACACCAGUGGCGAAGGCGACUUUCUGGUCUGUAACUGACGCUGAUGUGCGAAAGCGUGGGGAUCAAACAGG
Molecule: ribosomal RNA, 766 nt
Filed under: Staphylococcus aureus
Lineage: Bacteria; Bacillati; Bacillota; Bacilli; Caryophanales; Staphylococcaceae
Also listed under: 1 other name
Description: bacterial SSU rRNA
Rfam family: Bacterial small subunit ribosomal RNA
Source: RNAcentral